AAUAUUAAAUCUAAUUAGAAAAUUAAUUUUUUUUUGUUUCAGAAGCAGUUAAUUUUGAAAAAGCAUGCAGAAAAAAAAAUUUUUAAAAUACUUGCACUAAAACUCUUCAGCUCUACUCAUUUUGAUAAAAUUUUAUUAACAAGGAAUUAUUCAACUACAAUCAAUAUUAAGAGUACCUUGACACUAUUUAUUCACAUAUUUAAAUAAAAACUUCAAGUUUACGUAUAAACAUUUGUACAAAACGCUUAAUUGAUCAUUACUCAUUCAGAAAGAUUCAGUCCUUGAAGAAACGGCCGGAGAAUGUCACCAUUAAAGGGCAUUUAAUUUAUUUUAAGUGAAGAAAGUGCAGCUGAAUCGCGAACCUGCCGGAGAGUUCGAUGCGUGCCAGACGAGGUGCGAGACUCGUUUGCGGUCG
Molecule: long non-coding RNA, 415 nt
Organism: Cotesia glomerata
Lineage: Eukaryota; Metazoa; Arthropoda; Insecta; Hymenoptera; Braconidae
Exons: 3
Source: RefSeq, a predicted model, not a curated record